RNAcentral lists this transfer RNA (79 nucleotides) under Klebsiella pneumoniae. RNAcentral's name for it is "tRNA-Val". It matches the Rfam family "tRNA". From Rfam's summary of the family: Transfer RNA (tRNA) molecules are approximately 80 nucleotides in length. Their secondary structure includes four short double-helical elements and three loops (D, anti-codon, and T loops). Further hydrogen bonds mediate the characteristic L-shaped molecular structure. tRNAs have two regions of fundamental functional importance: the anti-codon, which is responsible for specific mRNA codon recognition, and the 3' end, to which the tRNAs corresponding amino acid is attached (by aminoacyl-tRNA synthetases). tRNAs cope with the degeneracy of the genetic code in two manners: having more than one tRNA (with a specific anti-codon) for a particular amino acid; and 'wobble' base-pairing, i.e. permitting non-standard base-pairing at the 3rd anti-codon position. The record is from RNAcentral. Lineage: Bacteria; Pseudomonadati; Pseudomonadota; Gammaproteobacteria; Enterobacterales; Enterobacteriaceae.
GGGUGAUUAGCUCAGCUGGGAGAGCACCUCCCUUACAAGGAGGAGGGGGUCGGCGGUUCGAUCCCGUCAUCACCCACCA